Camelina sativa (false flax) is the source of this 1433-nucleotide non-coding RNA. The record is from RefSeq and is a predicted model, not a curated record. NCBI's taxonomy places the organism in Eukaryota, Viridiplantae, Streptophyta, Magnoliopsida, Brassicales, Brassicaceae.
UGAGGUCUUCUACUUCAAGAUGUGAUUCAUUUGAACAAAAAUUUGUGUCAGGGAAGAUGACUAGAGGGAGUUUACCCUUGGACAUCAAAACAAGGUGGAAUUCUACAUACUUAAUGUUGUCAAGAGCUAUUGAUUUUAGAGUGGCAUUUGAUAGAAUGGAGGCAGAAGACAAGAUGUACAAUGACUACUUCAAUGAGGUUGAGAAUGGGAAAAAAAAGAUUGGGCCUCCUACAAGAGCUGAUUGGAAUGUCGUAGAAAGGUUAGUUAGAUUUCUAAUCAUUUUCUACAAUUAUACUUUGGUUGUGUCUGCUUCAACUUCAGUUGCUUCUUAUUAGUGUUAUGGAGAGAUAGUGACUAUAGAGAGGAAUUUGAUGUCACUAAGCAAUAGUAUUGAUAGUGACUUGAAAUCAAAAGCGGAUGCUAUGUUGCUGAAGUUUGAUAAGUACUGGGAUGGAAUGAGAAACAUCAAUGUUUUUCUGAUUGUUGCAAGUGUGUUCGAUCCACGCAAAAAAAUGCAAUUUGCUAAGAUGUGCUUUGACAAGCUUUAUGGGAAAGACACAACUGAUUCUAAGGAGAUGAGUGAAUCAAUCACAACCUUUUUGACAUCUUUGUUUAAAGAGUAUAGCAAUCAUCUCCAGAAAGUACCAAGUGGUCAAUCAUCACAGUCUUCUACUCAGACAUCAACUUCUCUUAGCCAAGGUGAGUCCACUGAUUUAAUGUCUGAUAGUAUGGGGUAUGAGAGAAUGGACUUUGCGUAUAAGGAGUUGGUUGAUGAGAUUGGGGUUGAUGAUGGUAGGGAUGAGUUGGAUGUAUACUUGAAGGAAAAAGUUGAAAAUCCUAGAACUAUUGUUGGAUCAGAGUGGGACGUAUUGUCUUGGUGGAGGCUCAAUAGUGGUAGUUAUCCUGUUUUGUCAGAAAUAGCUAGGGAUGUUCUUGCAAUGCAGGUGUCAUCAGUUGCAUCUGAAAGUGCAUUUAGUACUUGUGGGAGGGUCAUAUAGCCACACAGAAGUUGUUUAACGCAUUACAUGGUAGAAGUUUUGAUAUGCACGCAACAGUGGAUGAAGAAUAAGAAUCACUUAGGUGAGAAAGCAGUUGUUAUGAAUACACAAUUGCUUGCCGACAUUGAACUGCUUGAUAAACUUGAAAAAGAGUUUGAAUGUCAAGACUUAAACUAGAAGACUUGCAUAAACACAUCACUCGAAUGGACAUGAAGAAGUUGUAGUAUGGGACUAAGAAGAAGCUUGAGGAGGUCGUUGUUGAUGGCUUGCAUUGGAGGUCGUUAAUGCAAGAUCAUCUUUUAUCUUUCUGCUUAUCUUUUGUUCUUUUGGAUGGUGCUCUACUUUGGUUUCAAAUUUUAGGAUGGUGAUUUACUUUGGUUUUAUCUUUCUACUUGGCUUUGUUAUUUUGGAUGGUGAUUUACCUUUUUAGGAUGU